UGCAUUUGUUGACGGUCCAUAUCAAACAUGAACAGAACAAAGGCAUUCAAGUCGGAAUCUACUUUUUUUUCAUGAGAAAAUAUGUUCCCAACAUAAACGUGUGACAACACACGCAACAAAUUGCAACCACAUGUUGCCCAAAAACUGUUUCUAACACGAAACUGCAGCAUACAGUACAGGUAUGUGAACCAAAUAUCACAAAGUUCAGACGAGUUGCUGCAAAAUGAGACGAGUCAGAGACCCGGUGGCUUUUCUUUCCACUCACUCGCUGUCUCAAACUUGAUCAGCUGAUGUCUUAGCGGAAGGUUUUUAGCACCAAAACAGGUAAAGCAUUCGAGCAAACGUUCAUUGACUCGACUCUCCGUCGAGCCGCUCGCAAUUCACUCUGAGCAGGGAAAUUGGCAGAAUUUCUUGUCGAUUUGAGUCUUUG
Hippocampus zosterae (dwarf seahorse) is the source of this 430-nucleotide long non-coding RNA. RefSeq lists it as uncharacterized. The transcript is spliced from 3 exons. The record is from RefSeq and is a predicted model, not a curated record. Lineage: Eukaryota; Metazoa; Chordata; Actinopteri; Syngnathiformes; Syngnathidae.